Daucus carota subsp. sativus is the source of this 1594-nucleotide long non-coding RNA. RefSeq lists it as uncharacterized. The record is from RefSeq and is a predicted model, not a curated record. The transcript is spliced from 3 exons. Lineage: Eukaryota; Viridiplantae; Streptophyta; Magnoliopsida; Apiales; Apiaceae.
AAAUUUGUGCUAGCAUUAGCCUCUUCCAAAUGACUAAUUCUGCCCUUCGUGAAAUUGAGUUACUAUUAGCCUCUAUGUACACUUUAGACUUUUUACUUAUCCUUGGAUCAUCCAUCCCUAAACGGGUCAAACCCAUGUCCAUUUCAGUUUUUUUGGUGCUUAUGAUGGAUUAUCCAUGUCCUUGCGGGUUUCAACUGAUUUCUCUCCUCACACGAUUAUUAUCUUCUCAUCAGUUUGAAUUUCAAAUUUCUUGAUUCAUGGAGGCCUGAUUUGAUACCUUUCACUUUUAUCGUCGGUUGCAGCACAUUCCGGUGGCUUCUCUGAUCAAUCACAGGUCCCUGCGGGCUUCUUCACCGACAUGUCCGGUUGGUUUUCUGCCUUCCAAUAUAAUCCACAGUUCACAUCUAUGAAUCAUGAAUCUGGGAAAAAGAGAAGUUACAGAAUUGUUGAAAAGCGAAGGUGCAGAAAUUAUUAAUUGUCAACCUACUUCAUCUCCUCCUUUAUGAUAUAAUAAUAUUAUCAUUAUUAUGAAUGUUGAUUGCUAAAUUUUCUUCCGUUUAUAAUUUGAUAUACAUUAUUCCAUCUUACUGUUUGAUAAAAUGCUGCAAUGAAGAAGUUUACUUCCGCAUUCAAAAUAUCUUCGAAUAUAUGUGCUCGAUCAGAUUCUAUUAGCAGGUAUACAUGUUUGUUUCUCAAUAUUUUUUCUUCACUAAAUUAUUCACGGUCUUAAGUGUUUGUAUCCCUGAGCUUUCUUGCGAUUGAUGUUUCAAUGAGAUAUUAUAUGUUUUGUUUUCCUGAGGUAAUCUAUGAUACAGUAUAAUGUGGCAUUCUGGCUUAGUGUUUGUUCAUGUAUAGAUAUUAUUCGGUGUUAAUGGAUGCCCCAGGUCAAUUAAACUAUGGAUAAUUGCUUAUUGUUUGAUCACAAGAUCCGGACGGAAGAGGAUAGUGCUUGGACCUUAAUGAGAGAAAGAAAGGGAUGGAAGGAGAAGAAACAUGAUCUCCCUCGCUUUGCUGUUGUAGCAUUCUGCAAUAUUUCAGGACAAAAGUUGUUGGUGCUGGAGGAGGAGGUUCAACUGAAGUAAAUAUAUGAUUAAAAGUACAUGAAGGUGUUCCAAUCCCAACUUACUUUGACAUUGACAUGCAAGCGAGAGACACAUUUACUGAUGAAGUAUGUCUCGGUGAUCCAACUCCAAGCAAGGAAUCUGGUGUAGCUCGCACUAAUGUCUCCGCUGAUGCUGAUACCCAAGCAAAUGUGAUGAAGGCUACAACAGUGAAGCUCGAGAAAAUUACUUCAGGGAGCAUUACAGAUCAGUCAUAUGAAUCAUAUGAGAGUAAGACACCUGGGAAGUUUAAUGCCCUGCAUAUAGUAUUUCAAUCAUUGGGACCUAUAGACAGAAGUAAAAUGCUCAGCAGAGUAAACACAUUGACAGAGCAAAAUGAGGCCUGACUACUGUGAAGGAAAUGGUCAAUUAUAAGCAGUGCAUUUAGUCAGCUAGAAUGUAAGGUUGCGAAGAUUUGUAAAUCAUCUAUUUCUUUUCUUAAACAUUUGGAUUCUUGCAUUUCAAUAUCUGUAAUGAUAUUACUUCAUGUUUCA